This 492-nucleotide ribosomal RNA is filed under the name uncultured bacterium. RNAcentral's name for it is "partial 16S ribosomal RNA". It matches the Rfam family "Bacterial small subunit ribosomal RNA", at positions 29 to 507 of the family's 1533-position model. The record is from RNAcentral.
AGUGAACGCUGGCGGUAGGCCUAACACAUGCAAGUCGAACGGCAGCACAGUAAGAGCUUGCUCUUACGGGUGGCGAGUGGCGGACGGGUGAGGAAUACAUCGGAAUCUACUUUUUCGUGGGGGAUAACGUAGGGAAACUUACGCUAAUACCGCAUACGACCUACGGGUGAAAGCAGGGGAUCUUCGGACCUUGCGCGAUUGAAUGAGCCGAUGUCGGAUUAGCUAGUUGGCGGGGUAAAGGCCCACCAAGGCGACGAUCCGUAGCUGGUCUGAGAGGAUGAUCAGCCACACUGGAACUGAGACACGGUCCAGACUCCUACGGGAGGCAGCAGUGGGGAAUAUUGGACAAUGGGCACAAGCCUGAUCCAGCCAUACCGCGUGGGUGAAGAAGGCCUUCGGGUUGUAAAGCCCUUCUGUUGGGAAAGAAAAGCAGCAGGUUAAUACCCCGCUGUUCUGACGGUACCCAAAGAAUAAGCACCGGCUAACUUCGUG